This is a long non-coding RNA of Podarcis muralis (Common wall lizard), 1099 nucleotides long. RefSeq lists it as uncharacterized. NCBI's taxonomy places the organism in Eukaryota, Metazoa, Chordata, Lepidosauria, Squamata, Lacertidae. The record is from RefSeq and is a predicted model, not a curated record.
UCCUAGCUUUCAUAUCUCAGUUUCUAACACUGCAUAGUUUCCUCAAUGCCUGCUUUUAAGCAUAGACAUAAAUCAAGACACAGACAUAUCAAGGCAAUUCAUCAUAAAUAAUCUGUCUUGUUUUUUAACUAAUCCUUUCAAAAAAGUUUUUACUGAAAAUAAAGCUUUUUUGGGGGAAACUAUAUUAUGAUAAAUUGCACAGGUACCACCUUAAUAUAAGUAACACUUCUGAACAGACAUGUAUAGGAUUGCCCUGCAAAACUUGCAGUUUUGGCCUUCAGAGUCUCACUUUAAUUAUAGCGUCAGAACCAUUUCCUGUACGUUCUGUUCUGCUGCUUCCAUGGAGUUACUGCAAUUUAGGGAAUGGAAGCCUGGAAUGCAAAGUCAGCUUUUAAAAAGCCACACAUAAUACUUCUGUGCAGCUUUAAAAGCUGAGUGCACCAGAAUUGCAGAACAUGAGCAGGGAAUGCCCAACAUACUAUGUAGACACUAUUUAGAACAGGGCCAACCAAUUGCACACAACCAGAAGUGCAGUCAUAGCGAUAUUAUCCCCCUGCCCCACAAAACAAGUGGUUGUAUGUUAAUCGAGUAAGAAAUAUUAAUAAUAAUAAUAAUAUCCGUUCCCCUAGCAGGGCUCCUGCAUUUUAGAAGCUCAAGCACAGCUUUCCUUUGUCUCAAUGAAAUAUGAAAAGGACUCUAUAUGAAAUAGAGUAAUGAAUAGAAGAUGCUAGUUUGCAUUCCACACUAUUUGAAGUCCUUUGUGAAUGGAGGAAGCCCUAACAAGCAAAGAACGUUCAUUAAAAACAAAGUCACUAAUGAAGCCAUGCUUGUGGUUCUGUACCAUCAGUGAUGCCUGGUAUGCUAUUCAUUAGACAGAGACCAUUAACAGCUGAUGCAAGGUGCCAUACAAGGGAGCAAGUGCUGACAACUACAAUAAAUAAAUAAAUCCACAGGCUAUAAAUAGCUCAUAUCUGAAGGAACUGAGGAAAUGGUAUCAGCUGCAUGGCAUUCUGAAUACUGCCACAGCUGUUAGGUUCUUUGCUCUGCUAGAGUGUAAAAAACUGAAGUUCAACAUAACAAUAAAGGAAGACAGAAGACA